GAUGAACGCUGGCGGCGUGCCUAAUACAUGCAAGUCGAGCGAACAGACGAGGAGCUUGUUCCUCUGACGUUAGCGGCGGACGGGUGAGUAACACGUGGAUAACCUACCUAUAAGACUGGGAUAACUUCGGGAAACCGGAGCUAAGACCGGAUAAUAUAUUGAACCGCAUGGUUCAAUAGUGAAAGACGGUUUUGCUGUCACUGAUAGAUGGAUCCGCGCCGCAUUAGCUAGUUGGUAAGGUAACGGCUUACCAAGGCAACGAUGCGUAGCCGACCUGAGAGGGUGAUCGGCCACACUGGAACUGAGACACGGUCCAGACUCCUACGGGAGGCAGCAGUAGGGAAUCUUCCGCAAUGGGCAAAAGCCUGACGGAGCAACGCCGCGUGAGUGAUGAAGGUCUUCGGAUCGUAAAACUCUGUUAUUAGGGAAGAACAAAUGUGUAAGUAACUAUGCACGUCUUGACGGUACCUAAUCAGAAAGCCACGGCUAACUACGUG
RNAcentral lists this ribosomal RNA (497 nucleotides) under uncultured bacterium. Its description in RNAcentral is "partial 16S ribosomal RNA". It matches the Rfam family "Bacterial small subunit ribosomal RNA", at positions 28 to 507 of the family's 1533-position model. The record is from RNAcentral.